RNAcentral lists this ribosomal RNA (434 nucleotides) under uncultured bacterium. RNAcentral's name for it is "bacterial SSU rRNA". It matches the Rfam family "Bacterial small subunit ribosomal RNA", at positions 51 to 483 of the family's 1533-position model. The record is from RNAcentral.
ACACAUGCAAGUCGAACGGCAGCACGGGGGCAACCCUGGUGGCGAGUGGCGACCGGGUGAGUAAAGCAUCGGAACGUGUCCAAUAGUGGGGGAUAACCUCUCGAAAGAGAGGCUAAUACCGCAUACGACCUGAGGGUGAAAGCGGGGGACCUGCAAGGGCCUCGCGCUAUUAGAUGAGCCCAUGUCGGAUUAGCUAGUUGGUAGGGUAACGGCCUACCAAGGCGACGAUCCGUAGCUGGUCUGAGAGGACGGCCAGCCACACUGGGACUGAGACACGGCCCAGACUCCUACGGGAGGCAGCAGUGGGGAAUUUUGGACAAUGGGCGAAAGCCUGAUCCAGCGACGCCGCGUGUGUGAAGAAGGCCUGCGGGUUGUAAAGCACUUUCGUUGGGAACGAAAUAUGCCGACCUAAUACGUCGGAGCUGCGUCCCAAA